Molecule: microRNA precursor, 85 nt
Filed under: Nomascus leucogenys (northern white-cheeked gibbon)
Lineage: Eukaryota; Metazoa; Chordata; Mammalia; Primates; Hylobatidae
Description: mir-571 microRNA precursor family
Rfam family: mir-571 microRNA precursor family
Source: Rfam by way of RNAcentral
AGUAAGACCAAGUUUGGUGCGCCAUUUCCUUUUCUGUAGCCAUGUCCAUGGGCUCUUGAGUUUGCCACCUGGGUGAGGGCCUGCU